RNAcentral lists this ribosomal RNA (315 nucleotides) under Triticum aestivum (bread wheat). Its description in RNAcentral is "partial small subunit ribosomal RNA". The record is from RNAcentral. Lineage: Eukaryota; Viridiplantae; Streptophyta; Magnoliopsida; Poales; Poaceae.
UUCCAAUUCAUCAUAGAUCGGGUCCGCUCGAGGCUUGCUGGAUGGAAGGGCAGACUGAUGAACAUGGCUGUUAGGCGGGUGCUGGUACAUGCUGUGUUGACAGCCCUGCCAGUUUUUUCUAUGACAGUCCUCAAAGUGCCAAAGAAAAUACUCAAGGAGGUGGACAAAACUUGGCAGCAAUUCCUUUGGGCAAAUGAUGAAAACAUAACUGGCGCCAAAUGCAAACUGGCCUGGGACAAAGUAUGCCUUCCCGUGGCCAGGGGGAUCGGCUUACUGGAUCUUAAACGGUUCAAUACGGCUCUUUGGAUGAGAUAG